RNAcentral lists this ribosomal RNA (913 nucleotides) under uncultured crenarchaeote. RNAcentral describes it as "bacterial SSU rRNA". It matches the Rfam family "Archaeal small subunit ribosomal RNA", at positions 1 to 922 of the family's 1478-position model. Lineage: Archaea; Thermoproteati; Thermoproteota. The record is from RNAcentral.
UUUCCGGUUGAUCCUGCCGGACCCGACUGCUAUCAGAGUGAGAUUAAGCCAUGCGAGUCAACGUAGCAAUACGUGGCACACGGCUCAGUAACACGUAGUCAACAUAACCAAAGGACGUGGAUAAUCUCGGGAAACUGAGGCUAAACCGCGAUAGACCAAGAUACCUGGAAUGGUUUUUGAUCAAAAUCUAUAUGGCCUUUGGAUUGGACUGCGACCGAUCAGGCUGUUGGUGAGGUAAUGGCCCACCAAACCUAUAACCGGUACGGGCUCUGAGAGGAGGAGCCCGGAGAUGGGUACUGAGACAAGGGCCCAGGCCCUAUGGGGCGCAGCAGGCGCGAAAACUCUGCAAUAGGCGAAAGCUUGACAGGGUUACUCUGAGUGAUGCCCGCUAAGGGCAUCUUUUGGUACCUCUAAAAAUGGUGCAGAAUAAGGGGUGGGCAAGUCUGGUGUCAGCCGCCGCGGUAAUACCAGCACCCCGAGUGGUCGGGACGAUUAUUGGGCCUAAAGCAUCCGUAGCUUGUCCUGCAAGUCCUCCGUUAAAUCCACCUGCUCAACAGAUGGGCUGCGGAGGAUACUACAGGGCUAGGAGGCGGGAGAGGCAAGCGGUACUCAGUGGGUAGGGGUAAAAUCCUCUGAUCCACUGAAGACCACCAGUGGCGAAGGCGGCUUGCCAGAACGCGCUCGACGGUGAGGGAUGAAAGCUGGGGGAGCAAACCGGAUUAGAUACCCGGGUAGUCCCAGCUGUAAACGAUGCAGACUCGGUGAUGGGUUGGCUUCGCGCCAACCCAGUGCCGCAGGGAAGCCGUUAAGUCUGCCGCCUGGGGAGUACGGUCGCAAGACUGAAACUUAAAGGAAUUGGCGGGGGAGCACCACAAGGGGUGAAGCCUGCGGUUCAAUUGGAGUCAACGCCGGG